AGACUUAUCUGGCAGGGGAGACACCAUGAACAUGAGGAUAGUUUUCCCAAGGCAAGUUUCAACCCUUGCACUCUAGAUGAUGAGCAAGGCAAGUUUCAACCCUUGCACUCCGGGUGAUGAGAGAUUACUUAACGGGUGCGAUGCAUGUGAUUUAGGUGAUGGAUACUGUGGAACACUGACUUCAC
RNAcentral lists this small nuclear RNA (185 nucleotides) under Gorilla gorilla gorilla (western lowland gorilla). Its description in RNAcentral is "U1 spliceosomal RNA (ENSGGOG00000035299.2)". It matches the Rfam family "U1 spliceosomal RNA". Rfam says of the family: U1 is a small nuclear RNA (snRNA) component of the spliceosome (involved in pre-mRNA splicing). Its 5' end forms complementary base pairs with the 5' splice junction, thus defining the 5' donor site of an intron. The record is from RNAcentral. Lineage: Eukaryota; Metazoa; Chordata; Mammalia; Primates; Hominidae.